This 497-nucleotide ribosomal RNA is filed under the name uncultured bacterium. RNAcentral's name for it is "partial 16S ribosomal RNA". It matches the Rfam family "Bacterial small subunit ribosomal RNA", at positions 28 to 507 of the family's 1533-position model. The record is from RNAcentral.
GAUGAACGCUGGCGGCGUGCCUAAUACAUGCAAGUCGAGCGAACAGAUAAGGAGCUUGCUCCUUUGACGUUAGCGGCGGACGGGUGAGUAACACGUGGGUAACCUACCUAUAAGACUGGGAUAACUUCGGGAAACCGGAGCUAAUACCGGAUAACAUUUGGAACCGCAUGGUUCUAAAGUGAAAGAUGGUUUUGCUAUCACUUAUAGAUGGACCCGCGCCGUAUUAGCUAGUUGGUAAGGUAACGGCUUACCAAGGCGACGAUACGUAGCCGACCUGAGAGGGUGAUCGGCCACACUGGAACUGAGACACGGUCCAGACUCCUACGGGAGGCAGCAGUAGGGAAUCUUCCGCAAUGGGCGAAAGCCUGACGGAGCAACGCCGCGUGAGUGAUGAAGGGUUUCGGCUCGUAAAGCUCUGUUAUUAGGGAAGAACAAAUGUGUAAGUAACUGUGCACGUCUUGACGGUACCUAAUCAGAAAGCCACGGCUAACUACGUG